GCCGGGCGCGGUGGCGCGCGCCUGUAGUCCCAGCUACUCGGGAGGCUGCUGCCGGAGGAUCGCUUGAGUCCAGGAGUUCUGGGCUGUCGUGCGCUAUGCCGAUCGGGUGUCCGCACUAAGUUCGGCAUCAAUAUGGUGACCUCCCGGGAGCGGGGGACCACCAGGUUGCCUAAGGAGGGGUGAACCGGUCCAGGUCGGAAACGGAGCAGGUCAAAACUCCCGUGCUGAUCAGAAGUGAUAGAGUAUAGCAAAUAUUCAGGAUUAUAAUUUUUAAAAUAUUCUUCUU
Unclassified non-coding RNA from Oryctolagus cuniculus (rabbit), 286 nucleotides. It matches the Rfam family "Metazoan signal recognition particle RNA". Rfam says of the family: The signal recognition particle (SRP) is a universally conserved ribonucleoprotein. It is involved in the co-translational targeting of proteins to membranes. The eukaryotic SRP consists of a 300-nucleotide 7S RNA and six proteins: SRPs 72, 68, 54, 19, 14, and 9. The record is from Ensembl. Lineage: Eukaryota; Metazoa; Chordata; Mammalia; Lagomorpha; Leporidae.